CCUACGGGUGGCAGCAGUGGGGAAUAUUGCACAAUGGGGGAAACCCUGAUGCAGCGACGCCGCGUGAGUGAAGAAGGAAUUCGUUACGUAAAGCUCUAUCAGCAGGGAAGAAACACUGACCUUACGGUCAGCAGACGGUACCUGAGUAAGAAGCCCCGGCUAACUACGUGCCAGCAGCCGCGGUAAUACGUAGGGGGCAAGCGUUAUCCGGAUUUACUGGGUGUAAAGGGAGCGUAGACGGUGCGCCAAGUCUGGAGUGAAAGUCCGCAGCUUAACUGCGGAACUGCUUUGUAAACUGGCGGACUAGAGUACGGGAGAGGUAAGCGGAAUUCCUGGUGGAGCGGUGAAAUGCUUAGAUAUUAGGAAGAACUCCGAUUGCGAAGGCAGCUUACUAGACCGUAACUGACGUUGAGGCUCGAAAGCGUGGGGAGCAAACAGGAUUAGAUACCCCAGUAGUC
This 458-nucleotide ribosomal RNA is filed under the name uncultured bacterium. Its description in RNAcentral is "partial 16S ribosomal RNA". It matches the Rfam family "Bacterial small subunit ribosomal RNA", at positions 338 to 795 of the family's 1533-position model. The record is from RNAcentral.